This 254-nucleotide ribosomal RNA is filed under the name uncultured bacterium. RNAcentral's name for it is "partial 16S ribosomal RNA". It matches the Rfam family "Bacterial small subunit ribosomal RNA", at positions 524 to 776 of the family's 1533-position model. The record is from RNAcentral.
GACAUAGGUGGCGAACGUUAUCCGGAAUUAUUGGGCGUAAAGGAUGCGUAGAUGGUAGAAUAAGUUAUUGGUCGAUGCCAAACUCAAUUUGGCGGAAGCUGGUAAUACUGUUCAGCUAGAGGGCAGGAGAGGUUGAUGGAAUUCUGUGUGGAGCGGUGAAAUGCGUUGAUCUGCAGAGGAACACCAAAAAAGGCGAAGGCAGUCAACUAUUCUGUUACUGACAUUGAGGCAUGAAAGCGUGGGGAGCAAACCGG